RNAcentral lists this ribosomal RNA (302 nucleotides) under Salmonella enterica subsp. enterica serovar Coeln. RNAcentral's name for it is "partial 23S ribosomal RNA". It matches the Rfam family "Bacterial large subunit ribosomal RNA", at positions 1293 to 1598 of the family's 2925-position model. The record is from RNAcentral. Lineage: Bacteria; Pseudomonadati; Pseudomonadota; Gammaproteobacteria; Enterobacterales; Enterobacteriaceae.
AAUGCUGACAUAAGUAACGAUAAAGCGGGUGAAAAGCCCGCUCGCCGGAAGACCAAGGGUUCCUGUCCAACGUUAAUCGGGGCAGGGUGAGUCGACCCCUAAGGCGAGGCCGAAAGGCGUAGUCGAUGGGAAACGGGUUAAUAUUCCCGUACUUGGUGUUACUGCGAAGGGGGGACGGAGAAGGCUAUGUUGGCCGGGCGACGGUUGUCCCGGUUUAAGCGUGUAGGCUGGUUUUCCAGGCAAAUCCGGAAAAUCAAGGCUGAGGCGUGACGACGAGGCACUACGGUGCUGAAGCAACAAAU